CUAAAGAAUAUGUCCCUAUGCACAGCCCUCCCUCCCCAAAAAUAACGCUGGGGGUAGGCAUUGCCCUUCCCCCUUGGGCUCCUCGGGUGUAUUUAAAAAAAUGUUUUGGCAGCUCAGUGUUUAUCAUCUGGGCAUGGGACACCAUGUCCAUGUCCCCAUAUUCCUAGGGUACAGCAGCAGUAGAUGGCUGCAACAACCUUCCUCCUACCCCAGCCCAGAAAAUAUUUCUGCCCCACCCCAGGAUCCGGGACCAAAAUAAAGAGCAAGCAGGCCCCCUUCACUGAGGUGCUGGGUAGGGCUCAGUGCCACAUUACUGUGCUUUGAGAAAGAGGAAGGGGAUUUGUUUGGCACUUUAAAAAUAGAGGAGUAAGCAGGACUGGAGAGGCCAGAGAAGAUACCAAAAUUGGCAGGGAGAGACCAUUUGGCGCUAGUCCCCUAGGAGAUGGGAAGAGGGAGAUAGGUAUGAGGGUAGGCGCUAAGAAGAGUAGGAGGGGUCCACUCCAAGUGGCAGGGUGCUGAAAUGGGCUAGGACCAACAGGACACUGACUCUAGGUUUAUGACCUCUCCAUACCCGUUCCACAGCAGCUGGAUACCCACCUCCAGCCUCCCAUGUGAGCCUGUCCUUAUGUAUGGUGUCCAACCUCUGAUUCUAGCAGUCAAGUGUCUUCCCCAAUCCUAAUGUCCCCUGAUCAUGUCUCUAGCGACUUGACCAUCUCUUGUUCCUUGGGACUGGGGCCAGCCUCUUGUCUGCCCACUUCCCUCUCAUUAGUCAGAUAGCCCCAAAGGCUCUAUCUUUAGCUCCCAGAGAACUUUUUGGUCCUCAGUAUUUCCCUUCCCCAUUCCUUCCUAUUCCCCACAACUGGGGGAGGGAAGGGAGAACAGGGGCACCUGAUCAUCAAUCUCCCCUGCCCCUCUCUUGAAGCCCCCUAGAUUUGGAUGAAGAGCAGGAUUUCCAGAAAGGUGAUA
This 966-nucleotide long non-coding RNA is filed under the name Pan troglodytes (chimpanzee). RNAcentral's name for it is "long non-coding RNA NONPTRT000474". The record is from RNAcentral. Lineage: Eukaryota; Metazoa; Chordata; Mammalia; Primates; Hominidae.